This is a long non-coding RNA of Oreochromis aureus, 845 nucleotides long. RefSeq lists it as uncharacterized. The transcript is spliced from 3 exons. The record is from RefSeq and is a predicted model, not a curated record. Lineage: Eukaryota; Metazoa; Chordata; Actinopteri; Cichliformes; Cichlidae.
UGGCACAGACACAGGUUUAUGUCGUCGCCCUACAACCAGGUGAACGGUGUUUGAAUGACCAUUUGUAGACAUUUUUAAACUUCAACUGUCACGUUUUAAAGGAAGGCACAUCAGGUUACAGAAAGAGGAGAGAACAUACCUGCUUAUCAUCUCAUCAAGACUUUGAUAUCACCCUAAAAAGAAACCAGACAACCUUUGCUUCACUGAAGGAGUGACAUCAGACCGAAGAAAUCAGCGAUGUCAGAGUCAUAUCAGUUAGAUGCAUCGAUAGAGGAAGCGCUCCCGCUGAACUCUGUACCAGGAACAGGUGUUCAACAACCUGAGGACACUGGCAAUCAAGUAAUCUGCGUCGGUGAGGACUCUGCUGUGUCCUGCUGCAGUGACAAGUACCACAGGAAGCUGGCCAUCGCUAGCAUCAUCUGCGGGUUCUCCUGCUUCGGAGUCCUAGCCUUGAUUUAUUCCGUAAAGGCUGAGAAUGCUGACAAAGCUGAGAAAGCCAAGGGGACAAGAGACAGGAGAGCUGCAAAGUAUUUAAGACAGGCCAAAAAAUGGGGCAUCAUCUCCAUCGUGACAUGGGUUUCCAUCCUGGUGUCAGUUUCUUUGACACUGGUAUUACUGGUGCUGGUCCUAUCAAAGCUGGGCUUUGAUUGACGAACCUCAGUGGAGCACAUCCAGGGGAGUGUCUUUAAAGAUUCUGAUCAACUAUAUCACUGAUGCUGUGGAGUAACUAAAAGUUACAAUAACCUUAAAAAUACUGAAUUUGUUUAUGUUGUGCUGAAUGUGCUCUAAUCAGCAUUUACAAGAACAAACAGCUGAAAAUCGUAUUAAAUGUAUUAAAACUGUUU